RNAcentral lists this ribosomal RNA (263 nucleotides) under uncultured bacterium. RNAcentral's name for it is "partial 16S ribosomal RNA". It matches the Rfam family "Bacterial small subunit ribosomal RNA", at positions 29 to 319 of the family's 1533-position model. The record is from RNAcentral.
AACGAACGCUGGCGGCAGGCUUAACACAUGCAAGUCGAACGCAUCCUUCGGGGUGAGUGGCAGACGGGUGAGUAACACGUGGGAACGUACCUUUCGGUUCGGGAUAACCCAGGGAAACUUGGGCUAAUACCGGAUACGUCCUUAGGGAGAAAGAUUCAUUGCCGAAAGAUCGGCCCGCGUCUGAUUAGCUAGUUGGUGAGGUAACGGCUCACCAAGGCGACGAUCAGUAGCUGGUCUGAGAGGAUGAUCAGCCACACUGGGAC